RNAcentral lists this ribosomal RNA (395 nucleotides) under uncultured bacterium. RNAcentral's name for it is "partial 16S ribosomal RNA". It matches the Rfam family "Bacterial small subunit ribosomal RNA", at positions 523 to 918 of the family's 1533-position model. The record is from RNAcentral.
AUACGUAGGGUGCAAGCGUUAAUCGGAAUUACUGGGCGUAAAGCGUGCGCAGGCGGUUUUGUAAGACAGAGGUGAAAUCCCCGGGCUCAACCUGGGAACUGCCUUUGGGACUGCAAGGCUAGAGUACGGCAGAGGGGGAUGGAAUUCCGCGUGUAGCAGUGAAAUGCGUAGAUAUGCGGAGGAACACCGAUGGCGAAGGCAAUCCACUGGGCCUGUACUGACGCUCAUGCACGAAAGCGUGGGGAGCAAACAGGAUUAGAUACCCUGGUAGUCCACGCCCUAAACGAUGUCAACUGGUUGUUGGGUCUUCAUUGACUCAGUAACGAAGCUAACGCGUGAAGUUGACAACCUGGGGAGUACGGCCGCAAGGUUGAAACUCAAAUGAAUUGACGGGG